This 75-nucleotide transfer RNA is filed under the name Gammaproteobacteria bacterium. RNAcentral describes it as "tRNA-Gln". It matches the Rfam family "tRNA". From Rfam's summary of the family: Transfer RNA (tRNA) molecules are approximately 80 nucleotides in length. The record is from RNAcentral. Lineage: Bacteria; Pseudomonadati; Pseudomonadota; Gammaproteobacteria.
AGGGGCGUGGCCAAGUGGUAAGGCACCGGAUUUUGAUUCCGGCAUUCGCAGGUUCGAAUCCUGCCGCCCCUGCCA